Amphimedon queenslandica is the source of this 454-nucleotide long non-coding RNA. RefSeq lists it as uncharacterized. Lineage: Eukaryota; Metazoa; Porifera; Demospongiae; Haplosclerida; Niphatidae. The record is from RefSeq and is a predicted model, not a curated record. The transcript is spliced from 4 exons.
CUAUGGAGAGGCCUAACAAGUUCAUUUGACAUUGUUGGCCCUUAUUUCACCUCGUCUGGCACUAUCACUAGCAAAUUUUUGUACUCAUGUGUCUUGGAAACGAUAAAGCUCUUUCAACUCCAUUCCUUGAGAACUAUGAUAAUCAUUUGUGACGGAGCUUCAAGUAAUGUAACCAUGAUAAAAGCAACUCAUGGUUAUAUUAGGACAUAACCAAUAUUUAAGAGAAAAGGAGGAUCCGUAUGAAGUUUUUCCUCAUAUGUAGAAUCCCUUUGACCCUCAAAAUCUAAUAUACUGGCUAAUAUGUCCAAUACAUCAAAUGGAGGUGCCAAGACAUUCACUUUAAAUAAAUCAGUCUCAGUUUGAUUGGAGUUCAAUUACAUGUAUGUACAAUGAUGAAUGUGAACGAGUAAAGCAGGGUAUGAGAAGAAUGGUUCCCAAAAUGAAGGAAGUAUAU